UGAGGAAUAUUGGUCAAUGGACGAGAGUCUGAACCAGCCAAGUAGCGUGAAGGAUGACUGCCCUAUGAGUUGUAAACUUCUUUUAUACGGGAAUAAAGUUAGCCACGUGUGGCUUUUUGUAUGUACCGUAUGAAUAAGGAUCGGCUAACUCCGUGCCAGCAGCCGCGGUAAUACGGAGGAUCCGAGCGUUAUCCGGAUUUAUUGGGUUUAAAGGGAGCGUAGGCGGGUUGUUAAGUCAGUUGUGAAAGUUUGCGGCUCAACCGUAAAAUUGCAGUUGAUACUGGCGACCUUGAGUGCAACAGAGGUAGGCGGAAUUCGUGGUGUAGCGGUGAAAUGCUUAGAUAUCACGAAGAACUCCGAUUGCGAAGGCAGCUUACUGGAUUGUAACUGACGCUGAUGCUCGAAAGUGUGGGUAUCAAACAGGAUUAGAUACCCUGGUAGUCCACACAGUAAACGAUGAAUACUCGCUGUUGGCGAUAUACGGUCAGCGGCCAAGCGAAAGCAUUAAGUAUUCCACCUGGGGAGUACGCCGGCAACGGUGAAACUCAAAGGAAUUGACGGGGGCCCGCACAAGCGGAGGAACAUGUGGUUUAAUUCGAUGAUACGCGAGAAACCUUACCCGGGCUUAAAUUGCAACUGACUGAACCGGAAACGGUUCUUUCUUCGGACAGUUGUGAAGGUGCUGCAUGGUUGUCGUCAGCUCGUGCCGUGAGGUGUCGGCUUAAGUGCCAUAACGAGCGCAACCCUUAUCGAUAGUUACUAGCAGGUCAUGCUGAGGACUCUAUUGAGACUGCCGUCGUAAGAUGUGAGGAAGGUGGGGAUGACGUCAAAUCAGCACGGCCCUUACGUCCGGGGCUACACACGUGUUACAAUGGGGGGUACAGAAGGCAGCUACACGGCGACGUGGUGCUAAUCCCGAAAGCCUCUCUCAGUUCGGAUUGGAGUCUGCAACCCGACUCCAUGAAGCUGGAUUCGCUAGUAAUCGCGCAUCAGCCACGGCGCGGUGAAUACGUUCCC
This 1017-nucleotide ribosomal RNA is filed under the name uncultured bacterium. RNAcentral describes it as "bacterial SSU rRNA". It matches the Rfam family "Bacterial small subunit ribosomal RNA", at positions 355 to 1375 of the family's 1533-position model. The record is from RNAcentral.